AGCUUAGUGGCGAACGGGUGAGUAACACGUGAGCAACCUGCCUUUCAGUGGGGGACAACAUUUGGAAACGAAUGCUAAUACCGCAUAAGACCACAGUGUCGCAUGGCACAGGGGUCAAAGGAUUUAUCCGCUGAAAGAUGGGCUCGCGUCCGAUUAGCUAGAUGGUGAGGUAACGGCCCACCAUGGCAACGAUCGGUAGCCGGACUGAGAGGUUGAACGGCCACAUUGGGACUGAGACACGGCCCAGACUCCUACGGGAGGCAGCAGUGGGGAAUAUUGCACAAUGGGGGAAACCCUGAUGCAGCGACGCCGCGUGGAGGAAGAAGGUCUUCGGAUUGUAAACUCCUGUCCCAGGGGACGAUAAUGACGGUACCCUGGGAGGAAGCACCGGCUAACUACGUGCCAGCAGCCGCGGUAAAACGUAGGGUGCAAGCGUUGUCCGGAAUUACUGGGUGUAAAGGGAGCGCAGGCGGAUUGGCAAGUUGGGAGUGAAAUCUAUGGGCUCAACCCAUAAAUUGCUUUCAAAACUGUCAGUCUUGAGUGGUGUAGAGGUAGGCGGAAUUCCCGGUGUAGCGGUGGAAUGCGUAGAUAUCGGGAGGAACACCAGUG
This 609-nucleotide ribosomal RNA is filed under the name uncultured Lachnospiraceae bacterium. RNAcentral describes it as "bacterial SSU rRNA". It matches the Rfam family "Bacterial small subunit ribosomal RNA", at positions 89 to 714 of the family's 1533-position model. Lineage: Bacteria; Bacillati; Bacillota; Clostridia; Lachnospirales; Lachnospiraceae. The record is from RNAcentral.